Pogoniulus pusillus (Red-fronted tinkerbird) is the source of this 1557-nucleotide long non-coding RNA. RefSeq lists it as uncharacterized. The record is from RefSeq and is a predicted model, not a curated record. The transcript has 4 exons. Lineage: Eukaryota; Metazoa; Chordata; Aves; Piciformes; Lybiidae.
CCCACUUGGGCAGAGGGAUGCUCCUCCUCUCACCGCAGGCUCCCUCUGCUUGAGCUUGGACAUCCUGCUUUUGCUAAGAGUGUGCCAGGGAUGUCUUGCAGGGGCUGAGAGUGGAAAGGAGCUAAAGGUAAGUCUAAAAGGGCUGUGAUACCUGAAGCUGUUUGUCCUGGAGAGAACUGGACCCUAGGAGGCUCUGCCUGAACGUGAGGAAACACUUCUUUGCUGUGAGUGGAAAGGGGCUAAAGGUGAUCCUGCCUUGUCAGAGGGGUUGGACUCAACGAUUUCUGGAGGUUCUUUUCAACCUCAAACGUUCUGGGAAAAAUGCAUUGAAAUGCAUACUGUGAAAUAAAAUACUGUGAAAGCUGAAGAAAAGGACACAGCAGCCUGGCCAGAAACUGUCUUCCAUCUCCAGAGGAAGCUGGUGAAUGCCCCUGCUAGCAUUACUGCCUCUGAUGUAUAGUUCACUCCAGCUGAAGACCAUUUCCUCACUGUUCUCUUCUAGCCAUGUAUUAAUUAGAUCCAGCUACUAGCUACGCACCUCGAGUUUCCUUGAGACUGUGCUUGGGAUGCUCCUGAGUUCAUUUUUAAUAGACUCAGGUUCUUCCAAACUCCCUUCACCUCUAAAAUUCUUCUUGCACGCCCUUGAGACAGCAAACCCCCACUGCUGUUCUCACACAGAUGGACCCACAUGCACCAGCAUCACCCAUUGUGGCUUCUGUGGCUUUGCCUUAGCUAAAUAAAUGUCUUGCCCUCACCAUUUGAAGUGUUCCCAGUGGAAGAGUGAGGUAAGCUUAUUCUGCUGUCUAAAACAAGCAGGGAGUUUUUCUAAAGGAUGACCUCCAUGUGUCUGUGUAUAUACAGACACACACACACAUGCAAGCAGGAAUGCCCAUGAAAAAAAACAACCCUGUUAUGAGGCUCAAAUUUUAGUAAAUCUCCUGUAGACUUCAUUAAGAUUUGGGCUGGAUUUGGCUCUGAGCAUCAAACUCCAUCUGCUCCCCUCAAAAGAUCUUUGUUAACCAUGUUUUCAUGUUGUAGGGACUGAGGAAAGCAGAUACACAGAGACCCUUUUGCCCUAGACUACUCCCAUGCCCCUCUUAAAACUUGGGGUAAAUGAAGAGCAAAGCAGGUCUGAGUUACUGAAGUGCAUUUAGAGUUGUUCGGAGCCACUGUCGCUGAGGCAGGGCUGUGGCAAUUUACCCUUGCAAAGCAUUUUCUCUCUUUCCCCAUCCUCAUUAAGGAUUUCAAAUGGAGUUUGCUCUGCUCAAAGCCUUUCACUCCCUCAGAUUCAGCAGAGAGGACAAAUCCAGCAGAAACAAAAAAAAACCCCAACACCACCCAAGCCAAAUUAAAACAAUAAAAGAAAACAAAGCUCAAAGAUUGCAAAACCACAACUGGUUUGGACCUGUUGGCCUCUUCUGCUUCUCAUCCCCCUUCCUUAUCUCUCCCUCUGCCCUUUCCCUUCCCCUUUUAAACCACAGGCAGCAACAACCCAGUCAUUUAUCAGUGUCUUGAGAGCAUUAGUGUCCCCCCAUUGCCUCUUCCCCCUCUCCCAAA